GCAUAUCAUAAGCGGAGGAAAAGAAACCAACCGGGAUUGCCUCAGUAACGGCGAGUGAAGCGGCAACAGCUCAAAUUUGAAAUCUGGCUCCUUCGGGGUCCGAGUUGUAAUUUGUAGAAGAUGCUUUGGGUGUGGCCCUGGUCUAAGUUCCUUGGAACAGGACGUCAUAGAGGGUGAGAAUCCCGUACGUGGCUGGAGGCCUACGCCCAUGUAAAGCUUUUUCGACGAGUCGAGUUGUUUGGGAAUGCAGCUCUAAAUGGGUGGUAAAUUUCAUCUAAAGCUAAAUAUUGGCCAGAGACCGAUAGCGCACAAGUAGAGUGAUCGAAAGAUGAAAAGCACUUUGGAAAGAGAGUUAAAUAGUACGUGAAAUUGUUGAAAGGGAAGCGCUUGCAACCAGACUUGCACGUCGUUGAUCAUCUGGUGUUCUCACCGGUGCGCUCAGCGACGUUCAGGCCAGCAUCAGUUCUGGUGGUUGGAUAAAGGCCCCUGGGAAUGUGACUCUCUCCGGAAAGUGUUUAUAGCCCAGGGUGCAAUGCAGCCUUACCGGGACUGAGGACCGCGCUUCGGCUAGGAUGCUGGCGUAAUGGUUGUAAGCGACCCGUCUUGAAACACGGACCAAGGAGUCUAACAUCUAUGCGAGUGUUUGGGUGUCAAACCCAUGCGCGGAAUGAAAGUGAACGGAGGUGAGAGCCCUGAAGGGUGCAUCAUCGACCGAUCCUGAUGUCUUCGGAUGGAUUUGAGUAAGAGCAUAGCUGUUGGGACCCGAAAGAUGGUGAACUAUGCCUGAAUAGGGUGAAGCCAGAGGAAACUCUGGUGGAGGCUCGCAGCGGUUCUGACGUGCAAAUCGAUCGUCAAAUUUGGGUAUAGGGCGAAAGACUAAUC
This 882-nucleotide ribosomal RNA is filed under the name Scytalidium album. RNAcentral's name for it is "LSU rRNA". It matches the Rfam family "Eukaryotic large subunit ribosomal RNA", at positions 38 to 936 of the family's 3401-position model. Lineage: Eukaryota; Fungi; Ascomycota; Leotiomycetes. The record is from RNAcentral.